UACGUAGGGUGCAAGCGUUGUUCGGAAUCAUUGGGCGUAAAGCGCGUGUAGGUGGCUAGGUAAGUCGAUUGUGAAAUCCCUUGGCUCAACCAAGGAAGUGCAGUCGAAACUACUUAGCUCGAGAAUGGUAGAGGAAGGUGGAAUUCCGUGUGUAGAGGUGAAAUUCGUAGAUAUACGGAGGAGUACCGGUGGCGAAGGCGGCCUUCUGGACCAUUUCUGACACUGAGACGCGAAAGCGUGGGGAUCAAACAGG
RNAcentral lists this ribosomal RNA (253 nucleotides) under uncultured bacterium. RNAcentral describes it as "partial 16S ribosomal RNA". It matches the Rfam family "Bacterial small subunit ribosomal RNA", at positions 524 to 776 of the family's 1533-position model. The record is from RNAcentral.